This 740-nucleotide long non-coding RNA is filed under the name Ananas comosus (pineapple). Its description in RNAcentral is "long non-coding RNA (ACOM_LNC022851)". The record is from RNAcentral. Lineage: Eukaryota; Viridiplantae; Streptophyta; Magnoliopsida; Poales; Bromeliaceae.
ACAAAUGCUUAGAUAAAUAUAUAUAUACUAGCGUAGUAUCCCGUGCGAUGCGACGGAUAGAUAAUUAGAGAAAAUAUAGAAAGUAUCGAUAAAAAAAAAAGAAGAAAGCAGCGAUAAAAAAAACGAUAAUGAGGGGUGGGAUUCAUUUUGCCGUUGAACGAAAAUAGCAGCUGAAGGAAGAGGAAGAGAAAGGACUUUAGCUGGUUCAGGUGGAGCACACACUUAAAAAUGAAAAAAAAGUUGCCAUGUGGCAACUUUAGAAAAAAUAAUGUAUAAAUAAAUAAAUAAAUAAAUAAAUAAUAUAUAUGAUUGAUAAUUGAAGUUUUUUUUCUUCGAAUUAUUAUAAUUAAUUAACAUAUAAUGCAAGUUUGCCGAAUAAUGAAUGAUAUGAAUCAAUUGGUCUGGUUCAGUCUAAUAAAGCAGACUGGUUCAAGCAAAGAAAGAGGGCACCGGUUUGGUUCAGGCAAACAAAAAACAGGGAACAGGAACCGGUUUAGUAUAGAGGCCUCACUCAACCAUGUUUGGUUCAAGCAAAAAAAGGUAAAAUUAUUUGGAGGACUUGAGCCGGUUCAGGAUGGGACUCAUACUAGACAAUUCGGUUUGGUUCAACUAAAGGAAAAGAACCGGCGGAGCCCACACCCAACAACAUUGAAGCUUGUGUUGCCAUGUGGCAAGUUUUUUGAGAAAUAAUGUAAAGUAAUAGAUAAUAGAUAGAUAAUUAUAAUAACACAAGGGAUGAG